CCUACGGGAGGCAGCAGUGGGGAAUUUUGCGCAAUGCUCGUAAGAGUGACGCAGCGACGCCGCAUGAAUGACGCAGGCCUUCGGGUCGUACAGUUCUUUCGACAGGGAAGAAAAUGCCUAUAAGUAACUGUGUAUGUAUUGACGGUACCUGUAUAAGCAGCCACGGCUAACUCCGUGCCAGCAGCCGCGGUAAUACGGAGGGGGCGAGCGUUGUUCGGAGUGACUGGACGUAAAGAUCACGUAGGCGGUGUUGUACGUCAUUAGUCAAAGACUAGAGCUCAACUUUAGUAAGGCUAGUGAUACUAUAAUACUAGAGUAUCAGAGAGGAGUGCAGAAUUCCUGGUGUAGCGGUGAAAUGCGGAGAUAUCAGGAGGAAUACCGUUAGCGAAGGCGGCAAUCUGGCUGGAAACUGACGCUGAUGUGCGAAAGCGUGGGUAGCAAACAGGAGUAGAUACCCUAGUAGUC
RNAcentral lists this ribosomal RNA (465 nucleotides) under uncultured bacterium. RNAcentral's name for it is "partial 16S ribosomal RNA". It matches the Rfam family "Bacterial small subunit ribosomal RNA", at positions 338 to 795 of the family's 1533-position model. The record is from RNAcentral.